AAGCAGCAGUGUGCAGUGGUGA
RNAcentral lists this microRNA (22 nucleotides) under Branchiostoma floridae (Florida lancelet). RNAcentral's name for it is "bfl-miR-2066". Lineage: Eukaryota; Metazoa; Chordata; Leptocardii; Amphioxiformes; Branchiostomatidae. RNAcentral also lists the same sequence under 2 other names. The record is from miRBase by way of RNAcentral.